Molecule: ribosomal RNA, 274 nt
Filed under: uncultured bacterium
Lineage: Bacteria
Description: partial 16S ribosomal RNA
Rfam family: Bacterial small subunit ribosomal RNA
Source: RNAcentral
CUACGAAAGGUGCAAGCGUUGUUCGGAUUUACAGGGCGUAAAGAGAGUGUAGGUUGUUUAUUAAGUCGGAUGUGAAAUCCCGGGGCUCAACCUCGGAACUGCAUUCGAUACUGGUAGACUAGAGUUCGGGAGGGGUAAGCGGAAUUCCGUGUGUAGCAGUGAAAUGCGUAGAUAUACGGAGGAACACCUGAGGUGAAGGCGGCUUACUGGACCGAUACUGACACUGAGACUCGAAAGCGUGGGUAGCAAACAGGAUUAGAAACCCUAGUAGUCC